UUCUAGCAAUGAAGAUGGAAAAUCGAAAAAUUUAUGCGGGUGGAAUAUAGCGGUGAUUAUACCGUCAGACGUGACAUCUCCCUCCUUAGGAAAGUUCGGUCCCCGAACUUUUAUUAGAUUCUAAAGUGUGCCUGGCAGUGUAAGAGCUGUGUUGCUGCAGUUGGAUUUAUCUAAAUCGAGAGCUGGUUAUCUAUACUGUCACCGUGAUUUCGUUGGACGGAUAUGAUAAGGAUAAAUUAAAAGUGAGAAGAGGUAAUAGUGAGCUGAGACUGAAUUAAUAAGGAUAAAGGAUAAGUAUUUCAAUCUUAUUUUAUAAUCUUAUGAAUAUAUA
Molecule: long non-coding RNA, 331 nt
Organism: Temnothorax curvispinosus
Lineage: Eukaryota; Metazoa; Arthropoda; Insecta; Hymenoptera; Formicidae
Exons: 4
Source: RefSeq, a predicted model, not a curated record